Molecule: long non-coding RNA, 232 nt
Filed under: Sus scrofa (pig)
Lineage: Eukaryota; Metazoa; Chordata; Mammalia; Artiodactyla; Suidae
Description: lncRNA (ENSSSCG00045030757.1)
Source: RNAcentral
CAACAAAGGCAGGGCGAUAUUUCCAAGAAGGGCAGAGUUAAAACUCCUCUAAAAUUUUGCUGUAGAAGUCGGUUCUUUUCAUCCUUUCCCAGCAGCAGGGUGAGUUCUUCAAACACCCCAAAGCUGUUGGGUGAUGGACAGGUGAUGCCAGGAGACAGGGUGUGAUGAAGUAGCAUUCAGCUUGGUGGCCACAGCAACCUUGAUUUUAACAGGCAGAGUCAUCUUCCAGGGG